GCUUCUUUUUCCACCGGAGCUUGCUCCACCGGAAAAAGAGGAGUGGCGAACGGGUGAGUAACACGUGGGUAACCUGCCCAUCAGAAGGGGAUAACACUUGGAAACAGGUGCUAAUACCGUAUAACAAUCGAAACCGCAUGGUUUUGAUUUGAAAGGCGCUUUCGGGUGUCGCUGAUGGAUGGACCCGCGGUGCAUUAGCUAGUUGGUGAGGUAACGGCUCACCAAGGCCACGAUGCAUAGCCGACCUGAGAGGGUGAUCGGCCACAUUGGGACUGAGACACGGCCCAAACUCCUACGGGAGGCAGCAGUAGGGAAUCUUCGGCAAUGGACGAAAGUCUGACCGAGCAACGCCGCGUGAGUGAAGAAGGUUUUCGGAUCGUAAAACUCUGUUGUUAGAGAAGAACAAGGAUGAGAGUAACUGUUCAUCCCUUGACGGUAUCUAACCAGAAAGCCACGGCUAACUACGUGCCAGCAGCCGCGGUAAUACGUAGGUGGCAAGCGUUGUCCGGAUUUAUUGGGCGUAAAGCGAGCGCAGGCGGUUUCUUAAGUCUGAUGUGAAAGCCCCCGGCUCAACCGGGGAGGGUCAUUGGAAACUGGGAGACUUGAGUGCAGAAGAGGAGAGUGGAAUUCCAUGUGUAGCGGUGAAAUGCGUAGAUAUAUGGAGGAACACCAGUG
Molecule: ribosomal RNA, 675 nt
Filed under: bacterium enrichment culture clone WG_325
Lineage: Bacteria
Description: bacterial SSU rRNA
Rfam family: Bacterial small subunit ribosomal RNA
Source: RNAcentral